Molecule: ribosomal RNA, 427 nt
Filed under: Fusobacteriota bacterium
Lineage: Bacteria; Fusobacteriati; Fusobacteriota
Description: Fusobacteria bacterium partial 16S ribosomal RNA
Rfam family: Bacterial small subunit ribosomal RNA
Source: RNAcentral
UGGGGAAUAUUGCGCAAUGGGCGAAAGCCUGACGCAGCGACGCCGCGUGAGGGAUGAAGGUUUUCGGAUCGUAAACCUCUGUCAGAAGGGAAGAAACCGCACUGUGCUAAUCAGCAGUGCCUUGACGGUACCUUCAAAGGAAGCACCGGCUAACUCCGUGCCAGCAGCCGCGGUAAUACGGAGGGUGCAAGCGUUAAUCGGAAUUACUGGGCGUAAAGCGCACGUAGGCUGCUUUGUAAGUCAGGGGUGAAAUCCCACGGCUCAACCGUGGAACUGCCUUUGAUACUGCUUAGCUUGAAUCCGGGAGAGGGUGGCGGAAUUCCAGGUGUAGGAGUGAAAUCCGUAGAUAUCUGGAGGAACAUCAGUGGCGAAGGCGGCCACCUGGACCGGUAUUGACGCUGAGGUGCGAAAGCGUGGGGAGCAAACA